Zea mays is the source of this 3952-nucleotide RNA transcript. It is a transcript of the gene named C2 and GRAM domain-containing protein, with no coding region annotated. The record is from RefSeq and is a predicted model, not a curated record. The transcript has 10 exons. NCBI's taxonomy places the organism in Eukaryota, Viridiplantae, Streptophyta, Magnoliopsida, Poales, Poaceae.
UCCCUCGUCCGUCUGAUACUUUGUCGUCCAUUGUUUUUUUUUCAAUCCCAAGUGUUCAUCAGCUCCAGUUCCCAACCUGAGCAGCAGCAAUCAGAAGAGAAGGCGAGAAAGGAAACCGGGUUGUUUCGGUUCCAUUUUGAUUCGACUGGAGGAGAUAUACGCACACCCAAAUCGAAUACAUAGUAGGGGGGAUGAGGCUGGUGGUGCGCGUCAUCGAGGCGCGGGGCCUCCCGCCCACGGACGCCGACGGGACACGGGAGCCCUACGCCAAGGCGCAGCUCGGGAAGCAGCGGGCCAAGACCAAGGUGAUGCGCAAGACGCUCUGCCCCGUCUGGGACGAGGAGUUCACCUUCCGGGUAGGGGACCUCAGUGACAACCUCCUCGUCUCCGUGCUCGACGAGGACCGCUAUUUCGCCGACGACGUCCUCGGCCAGGUCAAGGUGCCCCUCACCGCCGUGCUCGACGCCGACAACCGCACGCUCGGGAUGCAGUGGUACCAGCUGCAGCCCAAGAGCAAGAAGUCCAAGCUCAAGGAUUGCGGAGAGAUUCAUCUCAGCGUUUCUCUGGCUCAAAACUACUCCGACGAGACAACGGCACAUUGGGCCUCAGAUGACCAUGACCUUGCAUCGAAUUCAGACAAAUCAACUGAACUGGUGAAAGGAUCUUCUUUCUCAAAUAUUCCUAUAGAGGUACGCACACAAGUAUCAGAGGUCGAUGAGACAGAAGUUGCCAAGGAGGAUAAAUCAAACGCUGCCCCAUCAUUUGUCAACAAGCUAUAUCAAAUGUUUAAUAGUAAACCAAAAGAUGCAGAAGCUUCUGCUCCAUCUUCCUCCAAGUUGAACGACGCUUCAGAUAUUACCGAAGAAAUGCUGUCAACCAACUCUGAAGCUCCUGAUAAGCAGGAUCUUGAUGCCAGUGCAUCUAUGUCCUUCGAUGAGCUACUGAAGGCCUUUGGUUCUCGAGGUGAAGGGAAAGAAAUGCCUGAAAAUUUGUCAGGUGGAGUUGUUCUUGAUCAAGUUUAUGCUGUUGCACCGAGUGAUUUGAACACACUUCUUUUCUCUCCAAGUUCAGACUUUCUGCAAUCACUUGCAGAGAUUCAAGGAACUACAGGUCUUGAAAUUCAACAGUGGCGACUUGAAAAUGACGGUGAAAUCCUGAGGAGGGUGGUAAGCUACACAAAAGCUCCUACCAAACUAGUUAAGGCUGUGAAAGCAACAGAAGACAUGACAUAUUUGAAGGCAGACAGAGAGAUGUUUGCAGUUUUAGCAGAUGUUAGUACUCCUGACGUUCCUUUUGGCAAUACUUUCAGAGUUGAGGUUUUGACCUGUAUAAUACCAGGACCUGAACUACCAGAUGACGAAAAAUCUUCACGACUUAUGGUCUCUUGGCGCAUAAAUUUUGUCCAAAGCACCAUGAUGAAGAGCAUGGUUGAAAAUGGAGCAAAACAAGGCUUAAAGGAUAACUAUGUUCAAUUCUCUGAGCUGCUGGCUAAAAAUUUUAGGCCAGUUGAUGCAAAAGAUACAACAUACAGUAAUGAAGUCCUUUCUUCUGUGCAACCAGAGCAAGAAUCUGACUGGAAGCUAGCGUUUCGAGUAUUUGGAAAUUUCACACUUUUUUCCUCAGUUUUUGCAUUUGUUUAUGUUUCUGCACACAUCUUCCUUACAAGCCCUAGUAUAAUUCAAGGUCUUGAGUUCCCGGGCCUGGACUUGCCGGAUUCUGUUGGUGAAGUUGUAGUUUGUGGAGUUCUUAUUCUACAAGGACAGCGUGUGCUAAAUAUGGUUGCACGAUUCAUCCAGGCGAAGAGGCAGAGAGGUGAUCAUGGAGUUAAAGCACAAGGGGAUGGCUGGUUAUUGACUGUUGCUCUCAUGGAGGGAACUAACAUGGCAGCAACCAAAUCAUCUGAUUACUCUGAUCCAUAUGUUGUAUUUACAUGCAAUGGGAAGACAAAGACAAGUUCGAUUAAGUUUCACACCCUCGAGCCUCAGUGGAAUGAAAUUUUUGAGUUUGACGCCAUGGAAGAUCCUCCAUCAGUGAUGGAAAUACAUGUGUAUGAUUUCGAUGGACCGUUCGACAAAGUUGCCUCCCUUGGUCAUACUGAAGUGAAUUUCUUGAAAUAUAAUAAUAUAUCCAAGCUUGCUGACAUUUGGAUUCCUCUGAAAGGAAAGCUUGCUCAAGCAUGUCAGUCAAAAUUGCAUCUAAGAAUUUUCUUAAACAAUACAAGGGGUACUGAAGUAGUGAAGGAUUACCUGGACAAAAUGGAGAAAGAAGUUGGCAAAAAGAUUGCUAUGAGGUCCCCACACACAAACUUAGCAUUCCAGAAAAUAUUUUCUUUGCCACCAGAAGAAUUUCUUAUCAAUUAUUUUACUUGUCACUUAAAGAGGAAAAUGCUAACACAGGGUCGUCUUUUUCUAUCUCCAAGAAUAUUUGGGUUUUACACAAAUAUUUUUGGCCACAAAACAAAAUUCUUCUUACUUUGGGAAGAUAUUGAAGACAUUUUACUGGUCCCUGCAACCCUAUCCUUAAUGGGAAGUCCAUCUCUGGUGAUUAUUCUUCGAAAGGGCAGAGGAAUGGAUGCAAAGCAUGGCGCAAAGCAACUGGACAGUCAAGGGAGACUAAACUUCCAUUUCCAAUCUUUUGUCUCAUUCAAUGUGGCACAUAAAACAAUAACGGCACUGUGGAAGGCAAGGUCCUUGACCCCUGAACAAAAGGUAGAGCUUGUAGAAGAGGAAUCAGAAACAGAAGAGUUCCAAAACGUGGAAGGAGAAUCUUUCUUAGGGAUAGAGGAUGCCCAAAUGUCAGGAGUGUUCUCAUCCACAAAACCUUUUGAUGUAACAACACUCAUGGGCAUAUUUGAGGGUGGUCCUUUGGAGUGCCGGGUGAUGGAGAAAGUUGGCUGUAUGGACUACUCUGUUACAGCAUGGGAACCUGUCAGAGCUGAUAUUUACCAGAGGCAAGUUCAUUAUAAAUUUGACAAGAAAUCAGUACGGCAUGGAGGAGAAGCGAUGAGCACUCAGCAGAAGUCCCCUUUGCCUAAUAAGAAUGGCUGGCUUGUUGAAGAAGUGAUGACGCUUGAAGGUAUCCCUGUUGGUGAAUGUUUCAAUCUCCAUAUUCGAUACCAACUAGAGAACAAUGUAUCCAAGCAGAAGACUUGCACUAUCCAGGUAUCUAUUGGCAUAGUAUGGUUAAAGAACUGCAAGAACCGAAAAAAGAUCACGCAUGAUAUAGCAACCAAUGCAUCUUCUCGCCUGAAGAAGAUAUUCAGCCAAUUUGAGAAGGAACCUAUACCAGCAAAGUAGGAACCUUGUUUUUGUCUGCGUCCUACUUUUGCUGCUGCACAUAUGCUAGCACUAUGUAUUUUCUUGCUGCCCAUGCUGAGCAAAGAUCAGGGACAUAGUGAGGAAGUUGCAACCCAAGGCAAAGCCCUCAAGAAGACUUUUAUAAAGCAACCGUAUUGCAAGAUUUUAGAUUAGAGAACUGUACAGCCUGGAAUGUGGUUUAGCUUAACCAUGUAUACAUAACAUUCAAACAUUGUUUUUGACUUCUACAAAAAGGUAUCUUCAGAAUCAGGAAUUAGGUUGCGGGUAUACAGAAGCAUGGUCAAGACGAAGCUUGACUGGGACGGCGAUCAUGACGAAGGAUAAGAUGAUCACGAAGCUAUAUGCAGAAGAGCUUCGGCAUCACGGCGGAAAGGGGAAACCGACUUAAAGAUGAAAAGCCAAACUAGACCUCGAAGAAUUACUAUAGGGUUAUUGAUAAAUGUAAAGGGCAUUAUUGUAAUUUUGCAUGGGCUGCGUCCCGUGCCUAUAAAUAGGUGAACAGUAUCCCUGUACUGUUCACGCUGACUUGGCAUUCACUUUUACGCCACGCCUGUAUUUUCUUUCCUUCAAGCCGAAGGUACAUUUGUAAUUUAUCUUCGCAUACAUAAGUAAUACAAAUAGAAAUAUAUUAAUAA